This 254-nucleotide ribosomal RNA is filed under the name uncultured bacterium. RNAcentral describes it as "partial 16S ribosomal RNA". It matches the Rfam family "Bacterial small subunit ribosomal RNA", at positions 524 to 776 of the family's 1533-position model. The record is from RNAcentral.
UACGUAGGGGGCUAGCGUUGUCCGGAAUCAUUGGGCGUAAAGAGCGUGUAGGCGGCUAGAUAGGUCCGUUGUGAAAACUCGAGGCUCAACCUCGAGACGUCGAUGGAAACCAUCUGGCUAGAGUCCGGAAGAGGAGAGUGGAAUUCCUGGUGUAGCGGUGAAAUGACGCAGAUAUCAGGAAGAACACCCGUGGCGAAGGCGGCUCUCUGGUACGUGACUGACGCUGAGACGCGAAAGCGUGGGGAGCAAACAGG